AUCUAAUGGAUUUCAGAUCUACUAUAUUUCUCCCUUAUUUCCUCCAUCUUUGGUCUUUCCUGGUCAUGACGAACUGUCCAACUAAUUCAGCGAAGUAGCUCAUAUCUUUCAUCAUCAACGACAUCUCCAUAUCGGCUAGUUCUGACCGUAUAUUUCCAGGAUUAAUUUUCUCAAAAAUAUAAAACAGGUAAUUAGUUCAAACUUUUAAAAUCAAGUGAUUUGAUGAUAUAUUUUUCAGUGUUUGAUCGUGUAUAUAUAUGUGUUUGUUCACGUUUGGAGUUUAUUAUUCAGAAGGAGAUUUUAUUGAUUAAGAGAUUAAUUCGGCCUGCAUACUGAAAAUAAAUUUUUUUUUUUUGAAGCAAUACCCAAAAUAAUUGAGUCAAUAAUUAUGCUACACCCAAUUCAAAAUUCAUAUCAACAGAUUCUACUUUGUAGUAAUUGCAUAAAAGUUUAAAAUUAAUUAUUAUUUGCACUAUCAUAUUCAUAUCAUGACAAAAUUAGUAUAAAUGAAAGCAUGAGGAAUUAAAUGAAAUUUGGCAACAAUUAAAUCUAUUGGACAAGUUGGGAGUCAGAUAUAUUUCAGAUCUAAUUUAUCUACUUAUUUUGUAACCAUUCUUUGCUCAGAUUUUUCUGAUUUCAUAUUCCCCCCUUAUUUCUUCCAUCUUCUCUUUCCCGGUCAUAGACGAACUCUCCAACUCCUUCAUAAAGUAGCUCAUAUCUUUGAUCACCAACGUUUUCGAUCUCCAUAUCUUUGAUCAUCAACCGUUGGUUUCCAAGAUUUUCUUCAAAGUAUAAAACAG
Molecule: long non-coding RNA, 800 nt
Filed under: Zostera marina
Lineage: Eukaryota; Viridiplantae; Streptophyta; Magnoliopsida; Alismatales; Zosteraceae
Description: long non-coding RNA (ZMAR_LNC000335)
Source: RNAcentral